AGGGGGCAAGCGUUGUUCGGAAUUACUGGGCGUAAAGAGUGUGUAGGCGGUGCUCUAAGUCCGGUGUGAAAUCUCCCGGCUCAACUGGGAGGGUGCCCCGGAUACUGGAGUGCUUGAGGGUGGGAGAGGGUGAUGGAAUUCCCGGUGUAGCGGUGAAAUGCGUAGAUAUCAGGAGGAACACCUGUGGUGAAGGCGGCUUUCUGGACCUGUUCUGACGCUGAGGCACGAAAGCUUGGGUAGCAAACAGGAUUAGAUACCCUGGUAGUCCACGCCCUAAACGAUGCAUACUUGGUGUCGGCGGUUCCGUUUCUCUGUGC
This 317-nucleotide ribosomal RNA is filed under the name uncultured bacterium. Its description in RNAcentral is "bacterial SSU rRNA". It matches the Rfam family "Bacterial small subunit ribosomal RNA", at positions 529 to 846 of the family's 1533-position model. The record is from RNAcentral.